RNAcentral lists this ribosomal RNA (421 nucleotides) under uncultured bacterium. RNAcentral describes it as "bacterial SSU rRNA". It matches the Rfam family "Bacterial small subunit ribosomal RNA", at positions 355 to 786 of the family's 1533-position model. The record is from RNAcentral.
UGGGGAAUCUUGCGCAAUGGGCGAAAGCCUGACGCAGCGACGCCGCGUGCGGGACGAAGGCCUUCGGGUCGUAAACCGCUUUCAGCAGGGACGAGGCCCUCUGGGUGACGGUACCUGCAGAAGAAGCCCCGGCUAACUACGUGCCAGCAGCCGCGGUAAUACGUAGGGGGCGAGCGUUAUCCGGAUUCAUUGGGCGUAAAGCGCGCGUAGGCGGCCUGUUAGGUCGGGGGUCAAAUCCCGGGGCUCAACCCCGGUCCGCCCCCGAUACCGGCAGGCUUGAGUCUGGUAGGGGAAGGCGGAAUUCCCAGUGUAGCGGUGGAAUGCGCAGAUAUUGGGAAGAACACCGGCGGCGAAGGCGGCCUUCUGGGCCACGACUGACGCUGAGGCGCGAAAGCUAGGGGAGCGAACAGGAUUAGAUACC